CCUACGGGGGGCAGCAGUAGGGAAUAUUGCUCAAUGGGGGAAACCCUGAAGCAGCAAUGCCGCGUGUAGGAUGAAGGUUUUCGGAUUGUAAACUCCUUUUGUUAGAGAAGAUAACGAUGGUAUCUAACGCAUAAGCACCGGCUAACUCCGUGCCAGCAGCCGCGGUAAUACGGAGGGUGCAAGCGUUACUCGGAAUCACUGGGCGUAAGGAGCGCGUAGGCGGGUUAGCAAGUCAGAUGUGAAAUCCUAGGGCUUAACCAGAGAACUGCAUUUGAAACUGUUAUUCUAGAGUAUGGGAGAGGGAGGUAGAAUGCUAGGUGUAGCGGUGAAAUGCGUAGAGAUCAGGAGGAAUACUGAUUGCGAAGGCGGCCUGCUAGAACAAAACUGACGCUGAUGCGCGAAAGCGUGGGGAGCAAACAGGAUUAGAUACCCGAGUAGUC
Molecule: ribosomal RNA, 440 nt
Filed under: uncultured bacterium
Lineage: Bacteria
Description: partial 16S ribosomal RNA
Rfam family: Bacterial small subunit ribosomal RNA
Source: RNAcentral